This is a long non-coding RNA of Acanthochromis polyacanthus (spiny chromis), 1986 nucleotides long. RefSeq lists it as uncharacterized. The transcript has 2 exons. The record is from RefSeq and is a predicted model, not a curated record. Lineage: Eukaryota; Metazoa; Chordata; Actinopteri; Pomacentridae.
CCGCUGACAAGAAGAGGAGAGAAGCUGCAGAACCGGAGAGACUCAGAACGGAGGGAGGGAGGGGCGAGCUGCGACGCAAUGCAGACACACUGUACAGCCUGGUUCUAUGGAGAACACUGAGGUUCUACAGACACACUGUACAGCCUGGUUCUAUGGAGAACACUGAGGUUCCACAGACACACUGUACAGCCUGGUUCUAUGGAGAACACUGAGGUUCUACAGACACACUGUACAGCCUGGUUCUAUGGAGAACACUGAGGUUCCACAGACACACUGUACAGCCUGGUUCUAUGGAGAACACUGAGGUUCUACUGACACACUGUACAGCCUGGUUCUAUGGAGAACACUGAGGUUCCACAGACACACUGUACAGCCUGGUUCUACGGAGAACACUGAGGUUCCACAGACACACUGUACAGCCUGGUUCUAUGGAGAACACUGAGGUUCCACAGACACACUGUACAGCCUGGUUCUAUGGAGAACACUGAGGUUCUACAGACACACUGUACAGCCUGGUUCUAUGGAGAACACUGAGGUUCCACAGACACACUGUACAGCCUGGUUCUAUGGAGAACACUGAGGUUCUACUGACACACUGUACAGCCUGGUUCUAUGGAGAACACUGAGGUUCCACAGACACACUGUACAGCCUGGUUCUACGGAGAACACUGAGGUUCUACUGACACACUGUACAGCCUGGUUCUAUGGAGAACACUGAGGUUCUACAGACACACUGUACAGCCUGGUUCUACGGAGAACACUGAGGUUCUACAGACACACUGUACAGCCUGGUUCUAUGGAGAACACUGAGGUUCUACAGACACACUGUACAGCCUGGUUCUAUGGAGAACACUGAGGUUCUACUGACACACUGUACAGCCUGGUUCUAUGGAGAACACUGAGGUUCUACAGACACACUGUACAGCCUGGUUCUAUGGAGAACACUGAGGUUCUACUGACACACUGUACAGCCUGGUUCUAUGGAGAACACUGAGGUUCUACGGACACACUGUACAGCCUGGUUCUAUGGAGAACACUGAGGUUCUACGGACACACUGUACAGCCUGGUUCUAUGGAGAACACUGAGGUUCUACUGACACACUGUACAGCCUGGUUCUAUGGAGAACACUGAGGUUCUACGGACACACUGUACAGCCUGGUUCUACGGAGAACACUGAGGUUCCACAGACACACUGUACAGCCUGGUUCUAUGGAGAACACUGAGGUUCCACAGACACACUGUACAGCCUGGUUCUAUGGAGAACACUGAGGUUCCACUGACACACUGUACAGCCUGGUUCUAUGGAGAACACUGAGGUUCUACUGACACACUGCACAGCCUGGUUCUAUGGAGAACACUGAGGUUCUACUGACACACUGCACAGCCUGGUUCUAUGGAGAACACUGAGGUUCUACUGACACACUGUACAGCCUGGUUCUAUGGAGAACACUGAGGUUCUACUGACACACUGUACAGCCUGGUUCUAUGGAGAACACUGAGGUUCUACUGACACACUGCACAGCCUGGUUCUAUGGAGAACACUGAGGUUCUACUGACACACUGUACAGCCUGGUUCUAUGGAGAACACUGAGGUUCUACUGACACACUGUACAGCCUGGUUCUAUGGAGAACACUGAGGUUCCACUGACACACUGUACAGCCUGGUUCUAUGGAGAACACUAGGGUUCUCCUGCAGAUUCUGCAGCGCUGAGCUGUGAUUGGCUGCUGAGCUGUUUGCAUGGUGGUGUUGCCAUGGUAACAGGAAGAGCAGCAGAAUCUGAUAGAUCAAUAAUCAAUAAAUGUUCUCAAAGCACAGUUACAAAAGUACAGUUUAAAAACAAACAAGUUCUGUAAUAAAUGUUCUGUAGUAAAUGUUCUCUAAUGGACAUUCUAGAGUAAAUGUUCUGUUCUAAAUGUUCCAUAAUAAAUGUUCCAUCAUGUUCUGUAAUAAAUGGUUGAUAAUAAAUGUUAUAUACUAAAUGUUC